GGAUAUGAGAGUGGUCUGACUGCAACGCCUGAUCACCAGGGUUGACUUGGCUGAUCUGGCUGGCUAGGUGGGUGUCCUCUUCCUCCCUCACCACGCAUGUGCGUCCCUCCCCAAGCCACCCCCUCAGUUGAAGAGGUCGACCCCCGAUCGAAGGGGACCAUCUCCCGUGUCAAGGAUACACUAGUAGCUGUGCACCCUGCUAGAACCUCUCAACAAGCUCUCAAAAAUCCCAAGGGAAGGAGGCUGGGGAUUUAGCUCAGCGGCAUAAGCACCUACCUGGCAAGCAUGAGGCUGUGAGCUCGAU
Unclassified non-coding RNA from Cavia aperea (Brazilian guinea pig), 304 nucleotides. Its record names the gene 7SK. It matches the Rfam family "7SK RNA". From Rfam's summary of the family: 7SK was discovered as an abundant small nuclear RNA in the mid-70s but a possible function has only recently been suggested. Two independent studies have found that 7SK RNA binds the CDK9/cyclin T complex (known as elongation factor P-TEFb). Lineage: Eukaryota; Metazoa; Chordata; Mammalia; Rodentia; Caviidae. The record is from Ensembl.